RNAcentral lists this ribosomal RNA (717 nucleotides) under Burkholderia sp. Ms228. RNAcentral's name for it is "bacterial SSU rRNA". It matches the Rfam family "Bacterial small subunit ribosomal RNA", at positions 53 to 766 of the family's 1533-position model. Lineage: Bacteria; Pseudomonadati; Pseudomonadota; Betaproteobacteria; Burkholderiales; Burkholderiaceae. The record is from RNAcentral.
ACAUGCAAGUCGAACGCCAGCGCUGGGAGCAUCCUGGCGGCGAGUGGCGAACGGGUGAGUAAUACAUCGGAACGUGUCCUGUAGUGGGGGAUAGCCCGGCGAAAGCCGGAUUAAUACCGCAUACGAUCUACGGAUGAAAGCGGGGGAUCGCAAGACCUCGCGCUAUAGGGGCGGCCGAUGGCGGAUUAGCUAGUUGGUGGGGUAAAGGCCCACCAAGGCGACGAUCCGUAGCUGGUCUGAGAGGACGACCAGCCACACUGGGACUGAGACACGGCCCAGACUCCUACGGGAGGCAGCAGUGGGGAAUUUUGGACAAUGGGCGCAAGCCUGAUCCAGCAAUGCCGCGUGUGUGAAGAAGGCCUUCGGGUUGUAAAGCACUUUUGUCCGGAAAGAAAUCCUCUGGGUUAAUACCCCGGGGGGAUGACGGUACCGGAAGAAUAAGCACCGGCUAACUACGUGCCAGCAGCCGCGGUAAUACGUAGGGUGCGAGCGUUAAUCGGAAUUACUGGGCGUAAAGCGUGCGCAGGCGGUGAUGUAAGACCGAUGUGAAAUCCCCGGGCUUAACCUGGGAACUGCAUUGGUGACUGCAUCGCUGGAGUAUGGCAGAGGGGGGUAGAAUCCACGUGUAGCAGUGAAAUGCGUAGAGAUGUGGAGGAAUACCGAUGGCGAAGGCAGCCCCCUGGGCCAAUACUGACGCUCAUGCACGAAAGCGUGGGG